Molecule: ribosomal RNA, 440 nt
Filed under: uncultured bacterium
Lineage: Bacteria
Description: partial 16S ribosomal RNA
Rfam family: Bacterial small subunit ribosomal RNA
Source: RNAcentral
CCUACGGGUGGCAGCAGUGAGGAAUAUUGGUCAAUGGACGCAAGUCUGAACCAGCCAUGCCGCGUGAGUGAAGAAGUAUCUCGGUAUGUAAAGCUCUAUCAGCAGGGAAGAAAAUGACGGUACCUGACUAAGAAGCCCCGGCUAACUACGUGCCAGCAGCCGCGGUAAUACGUAGGGGGCAAGCGUUAUCCGGAUUUACUGGGUGUAAAGGGAGCGUAGACGGCGCUGCAAGUCCGGAGUGAAAGCCCAUGGCUUAACCAUGGUACUGCUCUGGAAACUGUGGAGCUUGAGUGCGGGAGGGGCAGGCGGAAUUCCUAGUGUAGCGGUGAAAUGCGUAGAUAUUAGGAGGAACACCGGCGGCGAAGGCGGCCUGCUGGACCGUAACUGACGUUGAGGCUCGAAAGCGUGGGGAGCAAACAGGAUUAGAUACCCGAGUAGUC